AGAGUUUGAUCCUGGCUCAGAAUCAACGCUGGCGGCGUGCCUAACACAUGCAAGUCGAACGAGAAAGGGGAGCAAUCCCUGAGUAAAGUGGCGCACGGGUGAGUAACACGUGACUAACCUACCCUUGAGUGGGGGAUAACUUCGGGAAACCGAGGCUAAUACCGCAUAAUACCUACGGGUCAAAGGAGCAAUUCGCUCAAGGAGGGGGUCGCGGCCGAUUAGUUAGUUGGCGGGGUAAUGGCCCACCAAGACGAUGAUCGGUAUCCGGCCUGAGAGGGCGCACGGACACACUGGAACUGAAACACGGUCCAGACUCCUACGGGAGGCAGCAGUGGGGAAUUUUGCGCAAUGGGGGAAACCCUGACGCAGCAACGCCGCGUGGAGGAUGAAGUCCUUCGGGACGUAAACUCCUUUCGAUCGGGACGAUUAUGACGGUACCGGAAGAAGAAGCCCCGGCUAACUUCGUGCCAGCAGCCGCGGUAAUACGAGGGGGGCGAGCGUUGUUCGGAAUUAUUGGGCGUAAAGGGUGCGUAGGCGGUUUGGUAAGUCUGAUGUGAAAUCUAUGGGCUCAACUCAUAGUCUGCAUUAGAAACUGCCGGGCUUGAGUAUGGGAGAGGUGAGUGGAAUUCCUGGUGUAGCGGUGAAAUGCGUAGAUAUCAGGAGGAACACCUGUGGCGAAAGCGGCUCACUGGACCAUAACUGACGCUGAUGCACGAAAGCUAGGGGAGCAAACAGGAUUAGAUACCCCGGUAGUCC
RNAcentral lists this ribosomal RNA (756 nucleotides) under uncultured bacterium. RNAcentral's name for it is "bacterial SSU rRNA". It matches the Rfam family "Bacterial small subunit ribosomal RNA", at positions 8 to 796 of the family's 1533-position model. The record is from RNAcentral.